CUGGGAGCUACGGCCUGGAACAAGGCCCUCACGAUGACUCUGACUGGUGUCCUUUCCUGCUGUGGCUGAGCUGGUUGCUCCCUGGGGUUGUGGGACAGGUGGUGCAGGCAGGCACUCCCUUAGUUGCCCUAACUGGUGCCUCAGUAGGUCACAUGCCCCCUAAGUUCACUGGCUCUGAGCCCAGUUCUGCCCUAGGACUCACACAGAAGUUGCAGUCCUUGUGGAUCUUAGCUUAUAUAAGGAAUAAAGAGACAGUAUCCUACUGUUCUUUGAUUUAUCUGGUACAGAUAUACAGACUGUUUAUGAAAUGAAUAGUGAUAAUAAUGACAGUAAGAGUUUUUACUUAUUGAUCACGUAUGUGCCAGGCUCUGUCACAGAUACUUUACCUAACAUAUUUCUAGUCCUUACUAUAACAGCAUGAGGUAGGAAUACUGCCCUGGCAAGUGGGAGUCCAUUAUGUAUCGGUAUGGACUUGGCUGCAUAUGACUGCUUUCAAUCUCAGUGGGUCCUGUUACUAAGCCUUAACUUUCUGCUUAUUUACUUUGAUGGAGAGCUAGAGGCUAGAGAAUUAAUGUGGAGGGUUAUUGUGUUCACUAAUUUAUUGAUUAAUUUAACAAAUGUUUAUGAAGUUCCUACAGUCUUAAAGAUUCUGAGAUAGACUUUGAAGUCUCAAAACAAGAGGCAGAAUGGUAAAGAAAUACGUGCUUUAGACAAUGUCUGCUAUUCACUAGUUCUGGGACCUUGGGCAACCUUCUGAAUACCUGCAUUUCAGUCUCUUCUUCUGUGCCAUGGGAGUCAUAACUAUCCAACGAGGUUAUGGUAUAGAACAGUGGUUCUCACCUGGAACAAUUUUGCCUUCCAUGGGGCGUUUGGCAACAUCCAGAAACAGUUUUGCUUGUCACAAAUGGGGAACAGAAGCUACCACAAAGCA
This 931-nucleotide long non-coding RNA is filed under the name Pan troglodytes (chimpanzee). Its description in RNAcentral is "long non-coding RNA NONPTRT010374". Lineage: Eukaryota; Metazoa; Chordata; Mammalia; Primates; Hominidae. The record is from RNAcentral.